AACGAACGCUGGCGGCAUGCCUAACACAUGCAAGUCGAACGAGACCUUCGGGUCUAGUGGCGCACGGGUGCGUAACGCGUGGGAACCUGCCCUUAGGUUCGGAAUAACUCCCCGAAAGGGGUGCUAAUACCGGAUAAUGUCUUCGGACCAAAGAUUUAUCGCCUUUGGAUGGGCCCGCGUUGGCUUAGCUAGUUGGUAGGGUAAAAGCCUACCAAGGCGACGAUCCAUAGCUGGUCUGAGAGGAUGAUCAGCCACACUGGGACUGAGACACGGCCCAGACUCCUACGGGAGGCAGCAGUGGGGAAUAUUGGACAAUGGGCGAAAGCCUGAUCCAGCAAUGCCGCGUGAGUGAUGAAGGCCGUAGGGUUGUAAAGCUCUUUUACCCGGGAUGAUAAUGACAGUACCGGGAGAAUAAGCUCCGGCUAACUCCGUG
Molecule: ribosomal RNA, 433 nt
Filed under: uncultured bacterium
Lineage: Bacteria
Description: partial 16S ribosomal RNA
Rfam family: Bacterial small subunit ribosomal RNA
Source: RNAcentral